RNAcentral lists this transfer RNA (65 nucleotides) under Lilliconus sagei. RNAcentral describes it as "tRNA-Ser". Lineage: Eukaryota; Metazoa; Mollusca; Gastropoda; Neogastropoda; Conidae. The record is from RNAcentral.
UCUUAAAUACACAUAAAAACAUAUAAUAAAACUAUCUUUGAGCAUGUAAUUUAAAUUAGUUAAAU